Molecule: transfer RNA, 358 nt
Filed under: uncultured Microcystis sp.
Lineage: Bacteria; Bacillati; Cyanobacteriota; Cyanophyceae; Chroococcales; Microcystaceae
Description: partial 16S-23S ribosomal RNA intergenic spacer
Rfam family: tRNA (bases 134-207)
Source: RNAcentral
AAAGGGAGACCUAAUUCAGGUAUGGGACGAAAAAAAAGUAGUCGCUACCAAGAAUCAAUCCCAAAAGGUCGGAGCGAGGCAUGAGGCUUUCAAACUAGGUUCUGGGUUCACACAAGACCUGAAUCAGGAACAAGGGCUAUUAGCUCAGGUGGUUAGAGCGCACCCCUGAUAAGGGUGAGGUCCCUGGUUCGAGUCCAGGAUGGCCCACCUGCACAGGUGGCAAAAACAAGAGAAGCUCCGAAUCAGCACCUUAUCUUAUCUAUAUAUAAGAGAGAAUGCUGGCUCUGAGUAAAGAGUCCAGAGGAACCUUGAAAACUGCAUAGAGCUAGGUGAAAAAGCCAAAAAAGAAGACCGCAAG